GAUGAACGCUGGCGGCGUGCCUAAUACAUGCAAGUCGAGCGAACAGACGAGGAGCUUGCUCCUCUGACGUUAGCGGCGGACGGGUGAGUAACACGUGGAUAACCUACCUAUCAGUCUGGGAUAACUUCGGGAAACCGGCGCUAAUACCGGAUAAUCUAUUGAACCGCAGGGUUCAAUAGUGAGAGACGGUUUUUCUGUGUGGUGUAGAUGGAUCCGCGCCUCAUUAGCUGGUUGGUAGGGUAACGGCUUACCACGGCAACGAUGGGUAGCCGGCGUGAGAGGGUGACAGGCCACAGUGGGACGGAGAUACGGCCCAGACGGCUACGGGAGGCAGCAGUGGGGAAUAUUGCACAAUGGGCGGAAGCAGGAUGCAGCAAAGCCGCGAGCGGGAUGACGGCCUUCGGGUUGUAAACCGCUUUGGCCUGUGACGAAGCGUGAGUGACGGUAAUGGGUAAAGAAGCACCGGCUAACUACGUG
RNAcentral lists this ribosomal RNA (477 nucleotides) under uncultured bacterium. RNAcentral's name for it is "partial 16S ribosomal RNA". It matches the Rfam family "Bacterial small subunit ribosomal RNA", at positions 28 to 507 of the family's 1533-position model. The record is from RNAcentral.